Molecule: transfer RNA, 70 nt
Filed under: Trichophilopterus babakotophilus
Lineage: Eukaryota; Metazoa; Arthropoda; Insecta; Psocodea; Philopteridae
Description: tRNA-His
Source: RNAcentral
AGUGUAAUAGUUUAAUAAAAAACAACGGGUUGUGGUGCCGUGGAUAUAAUAAAUAAAAUUUUUUACACUA